GGGGGGGAGCGCUCUCGCUGGCACACGCCGGAUCAAGUCGCCAGCCAACGCGAUUCAACUCGAUUUGAAUCUGGAACCCGCUCGGGGCGCAAGGGCAGUUACGACGCACGAAAUAAGCACAAGCCGUUGGGGUCCUCGGUUGUCCGCCUGAAACAGAAACAAAUCAAACCGGGACGCAAGUACCCACUUGCCCUGCAGACCUGGUGAUUCUGAUGAAGAGAAACCACAGCUAAUGAGCUGGCAAGUGUCAUCUUCUAACUUGUGCAAAAUCUCAUUAAGGGCAGGCCUGGGACCCUGCCCCAACCCCAUCACCACCCAGGAUGAUGUCACCAUUUGGCUUAUUUAGGAUGCUUGGAAAUCUAUACUGCACUUUUCAUCUCAGCUCCUUGUCCAGCCUUAACUUGAACUUCCUGAUCUAAUGAUUUUAAUCGCUCAUUUAAAUGUUUCAAUUGUUAUGCUUUUUGACAAGCUUGUUUUAUUGUAUAUUUUAAUUAUGGGGUGUGUGUGUGUGUGUGUGAAUUAUGCAUAGAUAGUUUAUAAUUGAUUUUGUACUUGUAAACCACUUAGAAGCCAUUUUGGCCAUAUAACUGGUAUAGAAAUUAAUUAACAAGAACUUGGUUUGAAGCCCUGCUAACGUGAGCCACAGGAUCCAAGUUCCAUUCACAUGGUCACUUUUGGGGAUUGAACUCUAGCCAUAGUAAAUGGAGGGUUUUGAUGGGCUGAAAGUGUUUGGGGUCAAAUCGUUGUCUGAAAUGGUAAGCCAGAGAUGGGGAGCCCGUGAUCUCACACAAGUCACAUCCAGGAUGGCCAAGAGUCAGGGAUGAUGGGAUGUAGUCAUCUGGAAGGCCACUAGUUCCUUGCCCCCAUGGGCCUGUAAGCUGUCAUAAACAUGGGCUUUCAUGAAGGUUGGGGGACUAAAGCGGGACUAAAGGGAUUCUAAAAUGAGGGGCACAUUCCCAUUCUCUUUGCCCUUGUCACCCCACUGGUUUCUGCUAGUACUUUGUAUGUAGCAGCUGAAAGGAUAACAUAACAAGGGAUAGACAUAUCCAUCAGCUUUGCUUUCUCACACUUUCUCAUUUGUCCAGUAUUCAGCUUGUCACAUUUUCACAAGAAUUUGGGAUUCUUUUAAAGUCCUUCUGAAAAUUCACCAGCCUUUUAGUGUGAAUUUCUCAUAAGACGCACAUUUGUGUGUGCAAUAUUGCUCAAUAUACACAUUUUUUACAAAUCAAGUUUCCUGUAAUGCACUUUUGUAUACUGUUUUCACAAAUAUAUGCAUUUCAACACACAUUUUACCCCAAUAUAUGCAAUUAUGUACAUUAGUUGGCUGAAGAACUGCAUUGCAAAAUUUGGAAAAGUGUAAAUUUCACAGGGUGGUUGUGUGAAUUUUGGUUCAUGUGUUGUUUUGCAAAGUAUACAUUGGGUAGGUUUGCUUCUGAAUGCAAACAGAAUCAAAUUACUCUCAAAUCCCUAAACAAAAUGCAGGAUAGUGUCCUCCAAAGGGCUAAAUUUGGAGAG
Molecule: non-coding RNA, 1515 nt
Organism: Podarcis muralis (Common wall lizard)
Lineage: Eukaryota; Metazoa; Chordata; Lepidosauria; Squamata; Lacertidae
Source: RefSeq, a predicted model, not a curated record